RNAcentral lists this ribosomal RNA (348 nucleotides) under uncultured bacterium. RNAcentral describes it as "partial 16S ribosomal RNA". It matches the Rfam family "Bacterial small subunit ribosomal RNA", at positions 572 to 932 of the family's 1533-position model. The record is from RNAcentral.
UAGACGGUGAGGCAAGUCCGAUGUGAAAACCCGGGGCUCAACCCCGGGAUUGCAUUGGAAACUGUUUGACUCGAGUACUGGAGGGGUAAGCGGAAUUCCUAGUGUAGCGGUGAAAUGCGUAGAUAUUAGGAGGAACACCGGUGGCGAAGGCGGCUUACUGGACAGUAACUGACGUUGANGCUCGAAAGCGUGGGGAGCAAACAGGAUNAGAUACCCUGGUAGUCCACGCCGUAACGAUGAAUACUANGUGUUGGCGACCAAAGGUCGUCGGUGCCGCCNCAAACNCNUAAUAUUCCCNUGGGAGUACUNCNCAGUAUGAACUCAAGGAAUNACGGGACCCCNCAGCGU